GCUCUAACGCUGUCUGAUGGCCGAGGCCGAGUUUGUGAUCGGCCCUUGUAGUCAACCGUCAUUUUGCAAUGAAGACGAAGAGCGUGCCUGUCCCUGUAGAGGGGUAUUUGUGAUCCUUCUUUUGGAUCUACGGAAAGAGAACUAGGCAGAUUUCACGCAAACCCCAACUGCUGCAGCCCAGAGACCGCAGGUACCCGCUCGCUUUACCAAACCGGAGCCAAGCCUAGUGCUGGCCCGACUGGCACCAAGGACUACUGCUGAUCGUGAGGUGGGGACAAAGGACUCUCUAAACAGACAGAGCAUUGGGAUAAAACUUACUGCUUCGGCCCUCACCACUAAAAUCUUGCUUCUGAUUGUAAGUAUCACUGAAUAUUUUACCUGCCCCCCCACUACAUGUACACACACACACACACACACACACACACACACACACACACACAGCCCUGCAGGGCUGAUAGUGCCCUUUCCCUCCACUGUGAUGCCCCAUCCACACCCAGUCAUUCUUCUGCAGCUGAUGGAGCAGAAGAGUCCCUGAUAUUAAAUAUGAGGUAGGAAAAUUUGUGACUGUAAAGUGGUUGGUAUCUUGAUAUUUCUUGACAAGAUCCUCGAGGUAGGUGAGCUUAACAUGAAAUAUAUUUUCAGUUAGAUAGGCAAGCUGUAAAAUAAGCAGCGAGACGAAAUCUCAAUAAUAAGCAGCAAGACUUUGUCUCAAAUGGGAAAGCCGUCGGUGACAGUUGUUGCAUUUGACUUGCCACCAAAAAUUAAUUUUAUUGACUCAUAAUUAUAUAAAUGGCCACCAAGCCCUUGUUACCACUACUUGUGCCUAGACAUCACCUAAAAUGAAUACUGGAGGGGUGGGAGACAUUUCAGCUCCCUCAUUAAUUCAGUCCUAAAGAGUCUCCAAACAAUGAUACGUGGGAAUUUUAGGAUGGACAUUGUCUGGGCCUCAGGCUGCAAAUUCAUGGGGGGCAGAGUCCAUCAUUUCUCUGCAGAAAGGGGUUGCCUCUCUCUCCCACUCUCCUAGUAGCAUGUAUUUCUCCCUCCCUCUUGCAUAGGUCUGGACGCUACACUGAGCCACAUUACUUACUAAUGUAGUAGAAAAACAUUCAAUGUUUUAGCUAACUUGCCCUCUUAGCCAGUUAAAAGUUGUUCCUGGAGAGGCCUGACAAACGUGGAGGCCAAAACACGUCAAGCACCAGGAAAGCCUGGCCACAAAGAGCAAGGCGGAGGUAAGGUCUGAGGGGUUUUCCCCCUUUCAGUAGUGGAGCUUCUUAAUUUGGCUUACCAUCUCCUAUGAGAACUGCAGUUUUGGCACCUUGGAGAAAUUAUCACGGUUCCAGUAUAGAAAAUCCAAACAUUACCCUACAGCUGGAACAGUUCUCCAGCAAGCUGGAAAAAAAAAAAAAAAAAAAAAAAAAAGGCCUGACUGCACCUGUGAUCUAAGCGCUCCUAUUACUUGACUGCAUCACUCUGCAGCAGCUUGAUCCUCAUGAUGUUAAAGUAAUUCCAGCCACUUGUGGUACGUUGUUGAGCUC
This 1535-nucleotide long non-coding RNA is filed under the name Struthio camelus australis. RNAcentral's name for it is "lncRNA (ENSSCUG00000011881.1)". The record is from RNAcentral. Lineage: Eukaryota; Metazoa; Chordata; Aves; Struthioniformes; Struthionidae.